This 256-nucleotide ribosomal RNA is filed under the name uncultured bacterium. RNAcentral describes it as "partial 16S ribosomal RNA". It matches the Rfam family "Bacterial small subunit ribosomal RNA", at positions 521 to 776 of the family's 1533-position model. The record is from RNAcentral.
UAAUACGAAGGGGGCGAGCGUUGUUCGGAAUUACUGGGCGUAAAGCGUAUGUAGGCGGCUUUGUAAGUUAGAAGUGAAAGCCCAGGGCUCAACCUUGGAACUGCUUUUAAAACUGCAGAGCUCGAAUGUGGGAGAGGAUAGCGGAAUUUCCAGUGUAGAGGUGAAAUUCGUAGAUAUUGGAAAGAACACCAGUGGCGAAGGCGGCUAUCUGGACCACAAUUGACGCUGAGAUACGAAAGCGUGGGGAUCAAACAGG